UACGUAGGGGGCUAGCGUUGUCCGGAAUCAUUGGGCGUAAAGCGCGUGUAGGCGGUCCGGUAAGUCCGCUGUGAAAGUCGAGGGCUCAACCCUCGAAUGCCGGUGGAUACUGUCGGGCUUGAGUACGGGAGAGGCGAGUGGAAUUCCUGGUGUAGCGGUGAAAUGCGCAGAUAUCAGGAGGAACACCGGUGGCGAAGGCGCCACUCUGGGCCGAAACUGACGCUGAGGAGCGAAAGCGUGGGUAGCAAACAGG
This 253-nucleotide ribosomal RNA is filed under the name uncultured bacterium. RNAcentral describes it as "partial 16S ribosomal RNA". It matches the Rfam family "Bacterial small subunit ribosomal RNA", at positions 524 to 776 of the family's 1533-position model. The record is from RNAcentral.